GGGUCAGUAGGUUGGUCGUGCCACCGGUACGUACUGGUCUCACUGAUUCCCCCUUCCUGAAGAACCGUAAUGCCAUUAAUUUGGUGUUGCGGGGAAACAGGGCUGUUACUUUGAAAAAAUUAGAGUGUUUAAAGCAGGCUAACGCUUGAAUACAUUAGCAUGGAAUAAUGAAAUAGGACGAUCGAUCCUAUUUUGUUGGUUUCUAGGAUUGACGUA
RNAcentral lists this ribosomal RNA (216 nucleotides) under Glomeromycotina sp. RNAcentral describes it as "partial small subunit ribosomal RNA". The stretch from base 75 to 216 matches the Rfam family "Eukaryotic small subunit ribosomal RNA", at positions 721 to 864 of the family's 1831-position model. Lineage: Eukaryota; Fungi; Glomeromycota. The record is from RNAcentral.